RNA transcript from Felis catus (domestic cat), 16207 nucleotides. It is a transcript of the gene named 5-hydroxymethylcytosine binding, ES cell specific, with no coding region annotated. Lineage: Eukaryota; Metazoa; Chordata; Mammalia; Carnivora; Felidae. The transcript has 8 exons. The record is from RefSeq and is a predicted model, not a curated record.
AGGCGCCGUCGCUGGGGGCGGGGCUGACCUGGCUGGGGGUGGGGCCUGGAACCGGGAGCGCUGGCCAGCCGAGCCGGAGCGCCCGCGGGGGAAGAGCGUCGCGGGCGGCCUAGAGAAGGUGAACGUGAGGGUGUGCGGGGCCCCGCCGGAGGAUGUGCGGCCGAACCUCCUGUCACCUGCCCAUAGAUGUGCUCGCGAGAGCGUGUGCCUAUCGGGACCGGCAGGGCCGGGAGCGGCUCCCCGAGUGGAAGGACCCCGACAAGUACUGCCCCUCUUACAACACGAGCCCUCAGUCGAACAGCCCCGUGCUCUUGUCACGUCUGCACUUUGAGAAGGGUGCAGACCCAUCUGAGCGUAUCAUUGCUCCCAUGCGAUGGGGCUUGGUCCCAUCUUGGUUCAAAGAGGAUGAUCCUUCCAAACUUCAGUUCAACACUACCAACUGUCGUAGUGAUACCAUAAUGGAGAAACGGUCCUUCAAGGUCCCUCUUGGAAAGGGAAGACGCUGUGUCGUCUUAGCAGAUGGAUUCUACGAGUGGCAGAGACGUCAGGGAACAAGCCACAAGCAGCCGUACUUCAUCUAUUUUCCCCAAGCCAAAACAGAAGAGUCAGGUAGCACUGAUGUUGUAGAGAGUCCUGAGCACUGGAAGAAAGUCUGGGACAACUGGAGGCUGCUGACAAUGGCGGGGAUCUUUGACUGCUGGGAGCCCCCAGAAGGAGGAGACCUCCUGUAUUCCUACACCAUCAUCACAGUAGAUUCCUGCAAAAGCUUGAAUGACAUUCACCCUAGGAUGCCUGCCAUAUUAGAUGGAGAGGAGGAAGUCUCUAAAUGGCUUGACUUUGGUGAGGUCUCAACUCAGGAAGCUCUGAAGUUAAUCCACCCCACAGAGAAUAUCACCUUCCAUGCAGUCUCUUCCGUGGUGAACGACUCCGGGAACAACACUCCUGAAUGUGUGACUCCUAUCAGCCUACUGGUCAAAAAGGGUGGGCCGCAAGGUGGAUUCUGGCCAGAUUUGGAAGGAAGCCAUCGUUGUGGUUGCCGAUCUGCUGAUUUACCUCCUUGGUGUGAGGCAGCACCAAUGACGACUUUCCCUGGAUUCUCCUUCGGUCUUGCUGACUCAGGGGUGUGCAUGGUUAACUCUGACAAAGGGUCUCAGCUUCCACAGGGUACCGUCAUCGCCAAGGUCAGAGGCACCAGGAACCAACACAAGUUGGUCUGUCCUGGCGUUCCAGCUUGUGCGGAUUCAGCCUGCUCACGAGCUUCCCCUCCUGCCUGGGCACCUCCGGCUCCAGCCUCUGUCACGGUGAUCCAGCCUCCUGGAAACUGUUUCAUCGGCCCCGCAAGUGUGCAAGCCAGUUCCCUGUAACUGAUCCGGUGUAUGGGUGUGUCAGUGCCACUAGCCCUCCGGUUCUGCUUCCCCACCGAACUCUGACUGAGCGGGGACCCUGAAGCCCUGCUAACUCCUGCCUCGUGCCUGUCAGUGUACCUGCUGCUUUCACCGUUCCCCAGACUCAGGAGCUUUUGUCACACUGGGGGCCUGUGUCAUUGCUGCUCCCGCCUGGACUGUCGAUCCCCCAGAGCUGCCGGUUUGUGUGUCCUGUGCAUCCUCCUCAAGAACAGGAAGCAGAUCCCUGCCUCCUCAGCCAGUGUGUGCUCAAUGAGUGACCAUAGACUAGGCCAUACGAAAGACCCCAGGGCCUCUUUGUUGCCUCAGGACUAAUGGAGCUGCUAGUACAGCUAAUGGGCCCUCUGGCUGUAUCACCCAAAGUGUGAUGCCUGGGACAGAGGGAUGGCAGCACCCCUCCACCCCCGACCUUGUGCUGAGUGCUCAAGUCCCUCACCCCCAUCAGGUUCUGUGCUCAGUACUAAGCCUUGCCCUGGCAGAGGGACGGAUUCAGCUAGGUUGUUCAGUCAGUGGAGACCCCAUCCUGUGGUCACUAAGGCCUGCACUGCCUGCAAAGGGGCCUUUCCAGUGUCUUCAAGGCUGUCCUGGGCCCAGAGAGAAGCUGCAUCUAGGGACCCAGAAGGCAGACCUGAGUACCACCCCCUCCGCCUGAGGAGAUCAAAGGGAGGCAGGUCCCAGCCCCACGAGAGGAAGAAGGGAGGGAAAUCCUGGAGACCCCGGCCAUAGGCAGUGUGUUUGGACCCCCUGGUUAACAGAUGGGUGAGUAAAAGAAAUCUUUCUUGGUUCCAUUUAGAGACAAGGAAACUGAGAAAUGGGGAGAACAGUCUUGCCCAGAACAAAAGACAUGGUGGACAAGAUCCAGAAAGCUGGCCUCAGCCUCCAGGGACCUGGUCCCACCCAACCCCCAUCCCUAUCAAAGGGUGCAGAGAGGAGACCAGGCUGGGGCCAUUGCUAAGCCUGUAUUUUGCAGAUAAGCAAAUACACCUGGUCCCUUGCUUCCUCACUGCACCAGGGUCACUUGCCCCAGGAAGCCCUCCUCCAGAGCCUCCCAGUGUCAUGAGCCUCCAAGGUUCACCUGGAAUUGAGAGUCUUUGAAGUGAGGUCUAAAAGACACAGUAGGUAAAUGCUGGGUCCCGGGCUCCUCAGUCCCAUGCAGGAGCUGAGUGUGGUGUCAGGGCAGGAAAUACAGCCUUCCCAGUCUCAGCUCCAAACCCACAUGACAAGCUUUUAAACACUCCCCUCACUGGGACUGUCACAAGGCUGAGAGGAGACCUGUGCAGCUUGCCUUAGUGCUGGCCACAUACAGAGUGUUCACAUGGGGCUGCUUACGGCCAUCCAUUCUUUGGGGUGCAGGUCAGAGAUGUGGGCCCCACCCCAAGGUGCAGCUCAGCUUGAAGGGUCUGAGUGAGCACCCCGAGAAGAGAGGAGGGGAAGGGCCUGUGGGUAGACGGUGGGACACUGGGAAAGUCCUUUCAGAAGAACAAUUUAAAGGGAUGACAAGGUGUCCAGGAUGUGAGCAUGGGAGGGUAAAGUGGGUCAAAGGUGUGAGAGACCAGAUUGCAAGCGACAAAAAAACAAUUCAAAUGAGCUUACGUAGAAAGCAAUGUAUCAGUUCACGUGGCAGUCAGAUCUAACUAGCUUCAGGCAUGGCUGGAUCCAGAGGCUCCGUUAAUGUCCUCAGAUUAUCUGUCUCCAUCUUGUGGUUCCAACUUUCUCAGUUGGGGUUCUUUUGUCACAUGGGCUCUCCCUGUGUACUGACAAAAAUGGCUACUGGUAACUCUGGCCUCCUGUCCCUACCUGGGGGAGGGAGCACCUCUUUUUCAGUAGCUCUGGGAAGAGUGCCAGGAUUGACACUCAUUCAACUCACUGCCUUAAAGAACCUAUUUCUGACCCAAUGGCUGUGGCAAAGUGAACAGUGGAACGCUCUUCAUUGGCCAGGUCCUCAGUCACAUGACCCUCAUGGAGAAAUCCAGAGCCAUGUGGCCUGAAAGUAGGGGGGUUUGGGUCAUCAGAAAAAUAUUACAAUAUCCUUUAAUAGAGUGGGAGGCCUGCCCGGUGGAGGGCUGGUCCAUGGGCUAUAUAAGGCAGGCCUUAGGAUGGAGAGGACAGCCAGAGGCCCAAGUGUUCAUGGAAUGGAGACAGGAGACAGGACGGAGGUGGGGCGGAAGCAUCAAAGCAGGAGGCCACUGGGGGAGCCAGAUGGUAUGAGCAACAGAGGGUGGGUUUGGCUGGGAAACACGGAAAGGAGGUGUUGAAUAAAAAGGACCUGAAGGGCAUUUUGGGGCCCUGGAGCUCCGGUGAUGUCUGCAAAGGAUAGACUGUUGGGGGUGGGGGGGCUUUGGUUAGGAAGGACUCAGAAGGGAUGGAGCUCAGUGUGAAUUGUUGCACAGGAAGGUACAGUGUCCCCCUGCUCAUGGCCCCUGUAGCAGCCCUUCUGAACUGUCUCAGAACCUGUUACCUGGGAGCUGAUCGAAAAGCUAAGUCCCAGGCCCUGGCCUCAGACUGAUUCUUGGACAACUGGGGUGAGGCCAGGUGGCAUCUGGGCUUGGGUUUCUGGUCUAGGGAAUGGAUGUGGAAUCAGAGAUCACAUUCAGCUGGUCAGGAGAACCAUCCCCCCCAGAAUCCUGGGUAGGCCGGGGCCUGUCCUGGCCUCUAGCUGCUGGCAGCCUCUCAGGUGGCCCUGCAGGCAGUAUGGGACAGGAGCUGGGCUGGCUCAAUGAUCCUGUAGCAAGGCACUGGCCGUGCCACCCCCCAGUCAAAGCUGCAAAAUGGAUGAAGCCAUUACUGAAAGGCAAGUGGCCAGGGCAUGGGCUGGCAGGGUGAGUGAAUGGUCAGCCCUGGCCCACCAUAGUCCCACAUAGGUCCCAACCCAGGCCUCCUUCCUCCCUCCUGGACACCCCCAGUUCCCCAGAAUCAGAACAGUCACAGCCAGGCUAGUAGAUGGAGGGGCACCUUGUCCUCAAACCUUCUGCCUAGAGAGCAAUGAUGUGCCAAGGGACGUGUCUGGGACUUGUCCCUGAGGCAGGAGGUAGCAGGGAGGAGCCCCCACCGACUUUAAGACACUGAAAGAGCAAGUGGAGUGGCCACUCACCCUGUAUGGAAGGAUCUGCAGGGUGACAGAUGGCUGAAGUGUUUGCUCUGUGACCCCCCACUCUGUGUGCAGGGGGAGGGUAGUGGCUGCCAAGCCCUGCUCCGGGAUACCAGCAGGCCAGGGGCGCUUCUCCAGUGAUGCUCCCUCCCCUCUCCUAGUCUCUAACACUAACACAGAGAUCAUCUCCAUCUUUCACCUAACCCCAGCCCAGGCUUACCCAGUUUGGUACAUGUACACACGCACUGUUCUAGAACAUUCCCUAGCUUCCAGAGCCCUCCUUUGGCAGGGUUGUCCUCAUAGGAACAUCUGUCAAAGGCUCAAACGGCCUUAAGAACUAUUCCAUAUGCUGGACACCAGAGUGUCCCAGGGCUCAGGGUCACACUUUCCAACUUGUCCAGGAAUCCUUCGGGGUCCCGCGUGUGCACUCCAGAUGAACCAACGAGCUGAGGAUCCGUGCCUUGCUCAGGCCACACCUCGGGUUGUGCUCAGUGUGCCAGAGCCCGAGGCCUCCACAUUUCCAAUAUCCCUCUCACAUCAACACAAAGUCUCAGUGAAUUCGGAAUAACUAACCUCUGCCAAGGCUCAGCCUGGUGGGACCUCGUACGUGCUGGGGGGCCCUGACCAGUAAGCCCAAAAAGCCAUGGCUGUCCCCUCCCCCUCUCCCCACCCCCUGUCGGGGACCGGACCAGCCUAUCUCCAGCAUGUUUCCACCUCCGCACACUAGAGAUCAGUCCCUUGAGGCUCCUUCCGGCAUCAGCCAGGCGCCCCCUCCCCGCAGUUUCCACCCCUCACGGAGAACUCCAGGCCUACCUAGCUAACAUCCGGGGUACCCAAGACCCUUGGGACCCACCAUCCAACCCAAGUUGCUCGCCGACCGCACCCAUCCCUACUCCACUCGGAAGAAAACGAGAGCGGUUCAAAGGUUUAAACAAUUUAUUGUGCCCCAAAAAGGCCAACGGGAGGAAAGGAAGGCCGCGCGGCCCCGCGCCCCGAGCGAUUGUUUGUCGCGCACCCAAAGGCGGAGGGUGGGGAGUGGGGAAGGGCGGCGCGGCGGCGGCGUCUCAGCGCACCAGGGCCCGGCCAACCCGCGGCCCCCGCCCUGGCAGGCAGGCGCGGCCUCGGCCAUUGGCGCCUAGGGGCCGGUUACCAUGGAGACAGCCGUUGCCAAGGGCGAGAGCCAAUAGGGGCGUCGCCUGGCCGUUUCAAAAAUCUAAAGCAAAAACAACAACAAAAAACCGCUACGGCGGCGGGGGAGGGGGGGCAGGAAAAGGGAUGGAGGGAGCCCCGGGCCCUCCGUGCGGCUCAGAGCAGGGGCGGCGGUGGCCUGGCCGGCAACCGUACAAAAACCUACAUACACUUGGGGUAGAAAAACCGAACACCGGAAAGACCCCGCAGGCCGGCGAGCUCACUUGCGGCCCUUGGGCACCUUGGGGACGCUGGGCUUGGCCGCCUUCUUCACCUUCUUGCCCCCGGCGGCCGCCGCCUUCUUAGCCUUGCUGCCUUUGUCCUUCUUGGAGGCGGCGCCCUUCUUGUGCGAGCGCUUCUCGGGCUUCUGGCCCUUGGCCGGCUUCUUGUCCGCGCGCCGGGGGCCGGCCGCGCCCGGGGCCGCCUUCUUGGCCUUGUGCGCGGCGGGCGCCGGGGCGGUGGCGGCCGCUGUGGCUCCGCGCCGCUCGCCGCCGCCCUCCAGCUUCUUGCGGUUGAGCUUGAAGGAGCCGUUGGCGCCGGUGCCCUUCACCUGCAGGAGCGUGUCGUUCUGCACCAGCGCCUUGAUGGAGUACUUGAGGUAGGUGCGCCCGUUCUGCUGGUCGAACCACGCCACCUUCUUGGCCUCCGUGUAGAUCUUGGCCAGCGACGAGCCGUUGCGCUCGCCCAACCUGCGGAUGGUCUCCACCACCAGCUGGCUGUACUUGCCCGGCUGGUUCUUCUUCUUGUUGUUCUUCUUCUUCUUGGACGGGGACAGCGCUGCCGAGCCGCCAGCCUUGGCCGCCUUCUUGGCCGCCCCCUCGGCGGUCGUCAGCGGCAGGGCCUCCUCGAGCUCCACAGACAUGGUGGCGAGCGGGUUGGUGGCGGGCGGGGCGCGGAAGCCCGGGGGCCGCGCCGGGAAGAGGAAGGCGAGGGGCCGAGGGGGCGCCGGGGGACUGGGGGCGCGCGGCGGCUCCAGGCGGGAGCGGCCGCGGCCGGGCCUGGGGCCGGGCGGCAGGGCUGGGGUGGGGGCCGGGCCGGCCGGAUCGGGGGUCCUGGGCCGGGGCCGGGGCCGGAGCCGGAGCCGGAGCGGAGGGGCCGGGGCGGAGGGGGCCGGAGCCGGGACCCUGCAGGAGCGAGGAAAUCGGCCGAGGGAGCGCCGCUGCUGCCGCUACCACCGUUGCCGCCGGAGCUCGCUGGGCGUGCGCGCUGCGCUCUGAUGAGGAGGGCGCUCCGCUCCGCCUUUAUAGCUCCGUGGCGGACCACGUUGAGAACAACAACAGCCUGGUCUGGAGCCAGCGCCAACUUGUGCUUCUUGGAGCCCCUUCCUCGGCCUCUGGCUUCCCGGGCAGCGCCUCCCGGGCGCCACCGAGCCCACCGCCGAGCGCCCCGGACAGGGCCCGAGCCUGCGGCGCAGCGGAGAAGCGGCCUGCGCCCGGGAAGGGCUCGACAAAGGGGAACGGAGGGGUGCACCCUAGGCUGCGGGAGCGCGAGUGGAGGGGGGCACCCGGUUUGGAGGCGAAUAGCGCGGGCCCCGGGGGAGGCCGCGCGGCGCGGAGCUUUGCGGCCGGCAGCCAAGAGUGCGCCGCGGCCACCUAAGCCCCGAGCGCGUCCAGGGGGCCCCAGGCCUGCCCGCAGGACGAGCUUUAAUUUGUCCGAACUAACACAGGGCACGCCCUCACGUGGUCGGCUGGGGCAAUGUGAAGUGUGCUAGGACAUCUUCGAGGGGGGUCUCCACCCGAGUCCGAGGGGACGCCGGCUGGAGGCGCCCUCCAGCUGUGCGCCCGGGGUCUUGUUAGGCCUAAGGGGCCCGGGCACCGCCCGGGAGGACGUGGGGGACGACCGCAGGUGUCUCUCUGAGGACAUUUCUUAGCCCCCCACCCCCACUGGCGCUGAUGCUCCAAGUGCCCCAUUUUGUGGUGCGCGAGUAGCCGCCACGGUUUCCCCCCCCCCCCCCCCAAAGCCAAAUGUCGGCUCCACGGUGGAGCAGGUUGAGCGAAAUGUCGGGGUGCGACCCCCGGAGGAGUUCUCGGACAGGAUGGGGGAGGGGAGUUGCUCCGGCCACACCCCUCCCAUUCUCGUCGCGAGAGUGCGAUUGAGAGCGGGUCUUGGAGACCGCUCGCCCGGCUCCUUCCUCCUGGUACAGGCGAAGUCCUCCGCAGAGGCUCCUGCAAGUCUGGCGGCCCUGAGCUGGGCGGGGUCCAGUGUCGCGGGUGCGGAGGAGGCGCCGGACGGUCUUUCUUGAAGCCAAAGAAGCCUCUGCUUGGGGAAGCUGAGACCAUGGGAAGACACCCAGAGAGGAGAGCUGAUCCCUUUGGGGUUCCGGAAAUGCAAAGUGUGUGCCGGCUGGGCUGCUUGGAGGAUGCAGUGCAGUGACCGAGAAGCAGGAAGAAGGAGCUGCUGCGGCCCCCUGAGGAGUGUCUGUCCAGGAACAGGAGCCAUCCAAGAAUGAGCAGAGGGCACCCCGGGGGAGGUGGGCAUGGCGGCCCUACCCGGUGGCCCAGGGUUAGGGUUAGAACAGGGACACCGGAAAGAGAGCCGGCCCAAGGAAAUCAGGUGGAGGGGGGUCGCCAGGUGCCUGGCCUAGAGAGGCUCGAGCUUGGGGCUCUGCAAGAGCAGAGGGUGACGCCCCUGGUGGAACCCCGACAUGGGCCGCAGGGACAUCCUCAGACUGAAAUUUGCCCAGCCAUUCCGGGAGAGAAGGUCGCUGGAAAUGUGAAUCUGGAGCAGGCUGGGUCAGGGGUGUCUUCCCUAGGGUCAUCGCACAGGGAAAAAGGAGGAUGUGGAAAUGGUAGAAAAGGGAGGGGUGCUCCACUGGAGACAGAGGAAGAACGGUCAGAGAGGGAGGAGGAAACCAGGUGUGGCAGGUAUCACGGAAGCUAAGGAAGAGAGAGUUUCAAGAAACAAGGGCUGGUCGGUCACCGUGCAGCCCCUUCAGAAAGUGGAUCAGUCUAUCAGAAUGGACGGGUGAGCUUCCGGCCCUUGAGACCCCCUGGCUGGAAUCUGCCUGGUUUGCCCCGUGGUUUUUAAAACACCAGGGUUAAAAAAAUCAGGUGAUUUCGGGUAAAAAUGUGUCCAGACUUCAGCUUUCCCUUCAAAAAAUCUGAGGACUCACCCUGGGUGGGGGCAGAAAGAACAGGGCCUGAGUUAACAGUUUUUCUGCUAGAUGGGCUAGACCCCCAACACCUGGUCAGUUUAGGGAGUGUGGCCAGUGUGGGGCAGAGGGAAGGUUCUCCAGCCCUGGGGGAGGUCUGGCCAGGGUUGGAGGGGAGAAGGAACCAGUGGAGGGAGUGAAUACGUACAGGCAGGGCAGUGUGGCCCAGGCGGUGGGGAGGGUGCAGAAGACACGGCUCAGAGUCCAUACCGGCCCUAGUGGGCUCCUUGGCCUGCUGGUGGAGCAGGUGUUUGUGUGGGGGAGGGGAGCACUGCCUGUGGACCUGUAGACCAGGGCUCUGGGAGACUAAUAAUUUUAGGGCUUUGGGAACUGCCAGACACGCAAGUGGUUUCAUCCCACUGGCCUCGGUAUACAGAUGAGGAAACUGAGGCCUGGGGCUCACUGGAUGUCCAGUUAGCCAGGAUUCUAGGCCUGGGGUGCUGCCAGCCUUCAGGGAUGCUUCUCAAACCCCAUACCUCCCUAACAGCUCCCCACCCCCAUCACCCCUCUAUGGAAACGUAGGUGGGGAAGGCCUCAAGCAAACCAAUGAAACAUGACAAAAUUUGGAAAAAGAAACAUAUGGAAGUGGCCAGGGCCUCUCUCUCUCUCUCUCUCUCUCUCUCUCUCUCUCUCUCUCUAGUUGAGCUCAUCCAAUCCUGGAGCUCCAAACACCAUCCAUACCCUGCUGACCCCCUUUUCUGUCGGCCCUCAUUUCUGUCUCUCUCCUGACCAAAGGACUCUGGCAUCCAGCCGCCUGCCGCUGUCUCCACUGGGAUGUCUGGACACAUCUCUUCUGCGUCCUGGCUAAAACAGAACUCGGUUUUUUUCUCUUGCAAACCUGCUCCUCUCCCCAAGGUUCCCAGGCAGUCCUAGCCCCAAAGCAUAGACUCGCCCUGUUUUUUUUUUUCCCUCCACCCUCUCAUUCACCCCAUAGUUUCCUGUCACAGCUACUACCCCCAAACAGGUUCCUCCCCAAGCCCACCCCCACGCUCUCCAGUCCUCUCCAUUCAGCAGCAGGCAGAGCAGCUGAUGUGAAGUCUGAUCCCCUGCUUCCCACCUCUGUUGAGAAGGCCUCCAGUGGCUUUUCAUCAGACUUAAGAGGAGUCUGCACUCAGCCACACUGGCCUUUUUUUUUUUUUUUUUUUAAUGUUUAUUUUUUUGAGAGAGACAGUGUGAGCCAGGGAGGGGCAGAGAGAGAGAGAGAGGGAGACACAGAAUCUGAAGCAGGCUCCAGUCUCUGAGCCAUCAGCCCAGAGCCUGACGCGGGGCUUGAACUCACGAACUGGGAGAUCAUGACCCAAGCUGAAGUCGGAUGCUUAACCCACUGAGCCACCCAGGCGCCCCUACACUGGCCUUUGUGUUCCUCACACAGACCCAGGGGACUCCCACCUCAGGGCCUUUGCACUUGCUGUGCUGCUGACUGCCUUUAUUUCGAUUGCAAUCCAUGAAUACCUACCUCUUCAGGGCAGCCUCCGCGCCAGCCUGGCUGAAGUACCUGUAUCACAUCAUCCUGCUUUAUCAUCCUCUGAUCAUGUGCUUACCAUCAUCAUCUGACCCUAUUCUUAUUUGCUUGUGUAAAACUGUAAGAACAGAGUGGGGCCUGCCUUGCUCCCUGCCAUAUCCCAGCCCUGGCCACACCCUGCCUGCUGGGUACCCCUGUUCAUUGCUGUCUGUACUGCAGCCAACGGGGACACGGACCGGAGCCUUGAGCUCCUGGUUUGACCUGGACCCUGGGCACUCCCCCAGACCUCUUGUGCCCCCCACCGCCCCCCACCCCCCACUGCUCUGCCUUGGUUCCCCAGUUUGUGAAAAAGGGUUGGAUGUGUGCAGUUUGAAUGACCCUCCAGCUUUGGCAGUCUGAGUCUGGACAGCCGAACCGAGAUGUCCUCAAGAGAAGGGAGGACCCGGAAGAAUACAGCCUGCCUGGAGGAUGGGACAUAAAACAGAGAUCUGGGUGUCAGCAGAGGAGUCUGCUGGGCCUGAUGGCAAGUCUGGGUCUAGGAUGCAAAACCCCGGGCUCUGGGCAGGUUCCCUCCUGUGCUUCUGUCAGCCUCAGUGUCAUCUGUGAAAGGGGUACACACACUAGAGCUCGGAUGGAGGCACCUUCCCCUGGGAGGGUUUCAGAAGACCUGCAUGGGAGUCACCAGCCUCAGGGAUGGGGUUCAGAGACCCUGCCCUCUGAGGGCCCUUCACCCGGAAAGGCCUCAUUGGCUUGAGCCGGCUGCAGAGAGUUAACAGUUGAAGGCCAAAGAAUCAGUCUCCCCAAAAAGGGUUUUUAACUGAGAGGUUGGCUCCAGCCUAGGCCUGGGCUGGGAGGGAGGGUGGCUGGGCCCAGUUUGGGAUUUUAAAUGUAAAUAGAGAGGCAUUAAGUACUUUUCAGCAUUUAAGUGGAGACAAAGGGAAAUUCACCAGGCGAGACGGUGGGGAAGGUUGCCUUUAAGAUGCAAAUGUGUAUUGUGAAACCCUGAAUGGGGACGUUGUUGGGGCCCUGGCCCCUAGCCCCUUGUGGCCGGGCAGUGGGCUCCGAGGGGUCCGUGGGUCAGACGAACCCGGGCAGAGUGGCCAGAGAUCAAAGGAGUGGACAAGUCGCUGCUGAGGCUGAAAGGGUGCGAGACGUGGGGACCGAGAGAGCUUGGAGUUCCCGGAGGCCCCGCUUGCAGGGAGCCUGCUGGCCCCCCAGGCCCGAGUGGGGCGUAAAGGAAGAGCCGGGUGGAAUGGGAUAGGCCAGGGGGCAGGCUCUGAAGUGCGGGUGGCCCAUGCUUAGGGCACCGGCAAAGCGUGAGCCCCGCGAAGGGUUCUAAUACAGUACGCAUUGUUUUAAGAAUGGAGGUAAGUAGUUCUCGUGGAAGAAACCAGACCUUUGUGGAACUUCACACAGCUUUGUGCCGUUUUCAUUCGGAAUGGCAUUAAGGGAGAAGGGAUGGCAGGACCGCGUGCACACGUCUGCAUUUGGCCUUUAGGGGAGCCUUCACCCCAGGCACCUGCGGACCAUGGGUGUCGAGUAAGAAUCCCCAACCACUAGAGAUAAGGCCGCGAGGGUGAAAGAAUUGAGGGUGAUGGGAGAUUUGAACCUUGUCUCCAGGAGCCAGCCGCCCCCUCCGUCCGUCCUCCAAAAGCCGGAAGGCUGCGGGACCCAGCAGCGGGCACAGGAGGAAAGGGGGGUGGGGGCCCAGCCUGCCCCUCGCUGCCAGCAAUCUCGCUGCCCUUCCCCAGGCCGCCUUGCCCCUCCCCCCAGUUCUUUAAAAGCUCGUUAAUUUUUUCUCAAUAAAGUUGUUCGUGGUAUAAAACCCAACGGUGUAGAAGGAAGGAUGCGGAGGGAAAACCGAGUCCCCGCCCCUCUCUUGGCAGGCGCCCGCGGCUGAACGGGGGCCCUCGUGUCGCCGCUCCCUGUCGCACACGCAGUUGUGCUUCCCACUCUGUUGAACAGGACGUUUCCACUGACACAUCCAGGUGUAACUUGGCCUUCGGAACAGGGCCCGGGUGUUUUCCACCAGCCCUGUGGGUGGACGUGCGGUGCAAGCCGGGACUAGCCUUCCUUGCUAUCCUGGAAAGAUCUAGAGGAUUCGUCCUGUAAAUGGGGUUCCUCUGUCCAAGAGAUUUGCUAACUCUUGGUGGCCUGAGACCAGGUUGCCCUCAAGAGCAUGUCCCCCCACCAUUUCCUACUGCCGUGCUGUGUCCCCACCUGGGGCCUUUUUCCACGCACGAGUGCCACCCCACAGGGAGAGCGCUGGGCCCUCGGGAUUCGUUUUUCUUCCUUUUCAGGUUUUGUAACCCCCAGCUGGUGUGCACGUGCCCUCCCUUGGGCCCCGACCUCAGGUGCUGCCAUCACUCCUCAGGGCCUCUGUCCCCCCACCUCGCCACCCCCACUGCCCUCUCUUCUGGGCUGUGGCGGAGACUGGCUGUGGUCUGCCUCCUGCCUGCUUUUCUAAGUUCAUGUCCCAUUCUUCAUUCCUGUCAGUGGCCUCAGCCGCCCACCUGGCUGCUCUGGGCUCACCCUACACUUGACUGCACCUCCCCCUGCCCCCAAGCAGCAUCCCCAGCCCGGGGAUCCUGAGGGUUGGAACUGCGGUCUCUGUCCAGCCCUCCCGCCCAUGUGUGCGUCACAGGGCCUGCAUGUGGGCUGCUCAGAGAGCCUGGACCAGGGGUGAGGAUUUGAAGGAGGGAGUGAGCAGUGGAAACUAGAAAAUGGCUUCUCCAGGCUCCGCCCUUGAGUAACUGUCCCCUCCCAGGCUCACCCUUGGGUGGGGACCAAGGAGAGCAGCUGAGAGGAACUGGGUUGUUAACGUUAGGGAGGAAAGGCCCAGUGAGGAGAGGGUAGCUCCCAGCCCAAAGCCUUCUGGGGAUUCCCUUUCCUUGGGGGGGGCAGGGGGCUUCUGGGUACAUUCCCGGUCUCCCCCCGCCCCGCUUCUUCCCCCCACCCAAGGGUCAGUUUACAGGCUCCGAGAGGGAGCUCUGGCCUGGCUCAGGCUCCGGGACCCGCGGCCUCGCCUCUGCCCCUGCAGGGCUUGGUUUCCUUAGAUGGGAGUGUGGAGUUGGGGGGGAGGGAGCUGGGGGGACAUCUCUUCCCCAGAACUUCGGUUUGAGGCCCAGGGAGCUAGGACAGGAUCGAGAAACAAUUCUGGAGGGUGAUCCAGAAGACGAGGACAAAAGCCGACAGGCAGAAACCACCUGCCCAUGUCUCCCUGGGCCACCAGCACCAGUGGCCUGCUUUGGCCACCCCUACAGCGCAAUCCCUGUUGGCUGAGGUGCAGGCAAGGGAAUCUUGGCUUUAUCUCCCUUUGUCACAAACAACCUCAGUUAGUGGACACUUUCUUCCUGGGGAAGAACUGAAAGCCCUAAAGAGGUGGGGUGGGGGGGAGGGGGGGGAAGAGGAGGCUGCAGCCCUGUGCUCAGCAGCUGGGAGCCUGGGCACCACGCUUUCCCCGAAUAUCGACUGUUUCCAGGGGGUGGCAGGUGCAUGUCCCUCCACUGUCCAGAUGAGGAAACUGAGGCUUCAGAAAGGUUGGGCAAUGCCCCAAUGACAUCCGGCCAGAAAAAGAUGGCAAGGUAUUUGCUGUUUACCCCAUUGCAAGUAGCCUCCCCUCCCCUCCCCCCAGACACUUGAUGCACUUUGUUUUAUAGCACUUAUCACUUUCUGAGAUUAUCCUGUCUCCUGCCUGUUCCCACUAGAGCAGGAGCCCUGUCUAACUCACUGCUGCAUAGGGCCUGGCACAUAGUAGGCCCUCAGUAAAUAUUUGUUGAAUGAAUGAGAUGGGAUUCAAACCUGGUCUGGCUUCCUGUCCCAGCACUGACCUUACAUAGGUCACAACUCGAAGUAUCUGCACUGAGCCCACUGGGCUGCCUGGCAGAGCAGGCAGGGACCCCACAGAGUUGUGACACCUUUGAAAACCCUAGUGGAAAGCCUACUGCGACCUUUGCAAGGCUCACAGAAUUCCAAGGCUCACAGAAUUUUAUUUCAUCGUUGCUUGUCCCAUUUGGGGACCUUGAACUUUUCUACUAGUCAAGAACGUGUUAACUGCCCCUUUCUUCCUGUGAUGAGGCGCGGCCUCACACCAGACCGCUCCCUAAUUGCCAUUAUCUGAGGGGGGCCUGAAGGGUGGGGACAUUACGGCUGCACCAGGUAGCUGGUGGCACAGGCGUCCCGCUUGGACGGCCACCAUACGUACACCUGGCCCUGCCAUGGCCCCCCUCCUCGGCCAAAUUCAAUCCAGUCCUUCCUCCACUUACGAGGCAGCCAGAGGAACUUUUAAAAGGCAAACCAGAGCUUGUGGCUGUCCUGCUGGGACCCUCCGGCGCCCCACCCCCCCACCCCGACUCCGCCAGGCCCCGCUGACCUCUUCGACUUUAUCCGCCGGUGCUCCCUCCCUCCCUGCGGGCUCCUUCUCCUGGCGGGCACACCCCUGCAGACAUGCCGGCAGUGGCGCCAGGCGUCCUGCUAGCCUGCCCCCCCCCCGCCCCCGACUGCCACCCCCAUCCGCACUGGCUCCCUCCAUCCUGUCAUCCUGAUUCCUUUUCUCAUGAGGUUUCUCCAGCUGCGUGAGCUUUUACUUGCUUCCUAUCUGUCCGCCUGCCUCCAAGACCUUGGCUGUCUUGUGUAGCAUCGAAUGAUGAGAAUCUAGAAACGAAUCUAACUCUUGGCCGUAAGUCAGGUUCAGAAAUAUAUUUAAAGAUGGGGGAAAAAAAUACCCAACCAAACUAACGUGUAAUCUGGAGCCUGACAUCAGUAGCUCUCAAAAAAUAUGCUCCCUUCCUUUUCUCCCCCCCUCCUCAGGUAAUCUUUCUUGAAAGAGGUGGGCUUUGAAUAAUGCUUUUGAGACCAUCAAGGGAUUGAAUGGGAGGGUUCUUAGCCCACAUCUUGUCCCAUCUGCCCUGUCCCGCCCCCCCCCCCCCCCCCCCCCCAUUUUACAUGACGGAGCUGAGGUCCAGAGAAGAGGCAGGACUCACUUUGGGCAUGCGGAUUCUACUCCAAAUCUAAUUACCAGUCCAGUGCCCUUGCCCCAUCUGUCCAGUUGGCUGGGCGUGGGGACGGGAGAGCAGGGCCACAGGAUGAGGGCGGGCAUCAGGCUGUGCGCCACCCUUGCCUGGGUGUGAAAGACAACCAUAAAGGCUGUUCAUCUCGGCCCCAGGCCCCAGAACCAUGCCUCACUGGAAACAGCUGAAGGGGGUGUUUGACCUCGAGAAGAAUACGAAGAGGGACUGAGCUCUCUCUGACGCUAAACUGUAUUCUGGACCUGCCUGCCUUGCACCCCCUGCCCCAAGACAUUGAGAAAGCCUCAAAGUGGGUCUCCCUGUUGCCAGAUCUUCACAGAGGCCAAGUUUUUCCCAAAGCCCCCGUGGGAUCUUGCCCACCCCUGCCGAAACACGUGGACAGCUUCCCAUCACACUCGGAGUAAAAUCCAAACGUCUCCCCACAGCCCGGAAGGCCAGAUGUGGUCCUGUCCCCUGCUGGUCUCCUGUUUCUACCCUGGCUCCCCUUCAUUGCUGGCUUUUCUGUCCAUGCCUUGGACACCCAAGCCGCAGGCCACCGCAGUGCCUUGUGCUGUUUCCCCUCUUCAAUUUGAAGACUUUCACGGAAAUUGCCCCUUUUUGUGACUCAAGUUAAUGUCACCUUCUCCGGGAAACCCUCCUUAAACACCCCAUCUGAAGUAGGGUUACCCACUCCCCCCCCCAUCCUCCACACUUUGCCACGUUUUUCGUCAUAGCACGUCUCACUAUUGGGGAGUUUGUGCGUUUCUAAUCCUCAUUUCUCUGCCCCACCCUAAAGUCAGCUUAUCUGCCUUGUGUAUCACGGAAUCCUCUGUACGUGGCACACAAUAGAUGCUCAAUAAAUAUUUGUUUGAAUAAAUGAAGAAAAAAAAAGGGCCCCUCCGGGGUACA